This 541-nucleotide ribosomal RNA is filed under the name Nemipterus virgatus (golden threadfin bream). RNAcentral's name for it is "partial 16S ribosomal RNA". It matches the Rfam family "Bacterial large subunit ribosomal RNA", at positions 1857 to 2586 of the family's 2925-position model. Lineage: Eukaryota; Metazoa; Chordata; Actinopteri; Spariformes; Nemipteridae. The record is from RNAcentral.
GCCUGCCCGGUGACUAUAUGUUAAACGGCCGCGGUAUACUGACCGUGCCAAGGUAGCGCAAUCACUUGCCCUUUAAAUGGGGGCCCGUAUGAAUGGCAUCACGAGGGCUAAUCUGUCUCCUUUUUCCAGUCAAUGAAAUUGAUCUCCCCGUGCAGAAGCGGGGAUAAACUCAUAAGACGAGAAGACCCUGUGGAGCUUUAGAUACUAAAAUUGAUCCUCUUAAUAUAUCCAAGACAAAGAUAUCUAAACAAGGAAUACAAUCCGACUAUCUUUGGUUGGGGCGACCGCGGGGAUUAAAAAAACCCCCAUGUGGACCGGGAAUAAAAAUUUUUCUUAUUCCUACAAUCAAGAGUUACCACUCUAACUAGCAGAACUUCUGACCUUAAAUGAUCCGACAAAGUCGAUCAACGGACCGAGUUACCCCAGGGAUAACAGCGCAAUCCCCUUUAAGAGCUCUUAUCGACAAGGGGGUUUACGACCUCGAUGUUGGAUCAGGACAUCCCAUUGGCGUAGAAGCUAUUAAGGGUUCGUUUGUUCAACG